CUAGCCUCACCAUUUCAACCCAAUUACCCAAGUACUUUAAAUGCUUCUUCUGGCUAACUAUUUUCAAUGUGUAUCUAUUAUCAGGACUGUUUAUUCAUUAGCCUACUGUCAGCUAACUAUAUCCAGUAGCCUGCUUUUAGCUAACUAAAUCAUUAGCCUACAUUCAGCUAGCUAUAUCCAGUGGCCUACUUUUAGCUAACUAAAUCAUUAGCCUACAUUCAGCUAACUAUAUCCAGUGGCCUGCUUUUAGCUACCUAUCUCCAGUAACGUACUUCUUGCUAACUAUAUCCAGUAGCCUGCUUUUAGCUAACUAAAUCAUUAGCCUACAUUCAGCUAACUAUAUCCAGUGGCCUACUUUUAGCUAACUAAAUCAUUAGCCUACAUUCAGCUAACUAUAUCCAGUGGCCUGCUUUUAGCUACCUUUUUCCAAGCUACUCCACAAUCUUUUCAUGCACCACCUGGCAAAUGCAGGAAAUACCCCCUGAUCUCCCAGUAAAGAGGACACAAUGGGCAGCGAACGGAGACAGUAACACAAGCUCGGUGGUGUGAGAUGUAACAGUUGGUACUGCCAAGCCUCCACAAACACACUCGGCUUCCAUGCCCUCUGGUCCCGAACGGCUUCAGCGGAGCAGGUGUCUGCCCACAUUCUUUACAUAAGCUCUUGUCAAACAUGGCGCACGGCAACAAGGCCUCACAGCUGCAGGACAAUGGAGUCACAUUAAACUACGGCAUGGAGGCCAGGAACGCACACUUCAAGCCAG
This is a long non-coding RNA of Acanthopagrus latus (yellowfin seabream), 761 nucleotides long. RefSeq lists it as uncharacterized. NCBI's taxonomy places the organism in Eukaryota, Metazoa, Chordata, Actinopteri, Spariformes, Sparidae. The record is from RefSeq and is a predicted model, not a curated record. The transcript is spliced from 3 exons.